GCUGUGCGUCCUAUACCCUGGACUUCACCCUGGCACUGAACCUUCGCCCUGUCAGCGAGAGCCAAGUGGGGGCUUCAUUUCUCCUCUGUGCAGGCCAAGAGGCUGUCCUGUUUGGAGUGAGAUGUUGAAUGUCAACGGGAACCAACGAGAGCCUCACGGAUCUCCAAGCACAAAAAAAAAAAUCACACAGUCUGAUUAGCAACAAGCCUUGGAAAUACGUGCAUUCCCCACCUUGUCCACGUAGGUAUAGAAGACCCAGUCUGGAGAAAGAGAACCAUCCCGGAGUUUCUCAGAGAGUUCCACCAAGGUGAGAGAGAGGAUUGGGUCUGCAUCUACAUCAGGAUUCUGAGGGAGGAAUUAAACAUGAAAUCCACACAUCUAUACUUGUGAAGCGCCGGGAAACGCUGCUGCGGUCUCAGACAGCUGCUGCAACCUGCCCCAGAGACAGAUCUAUUUUGGCAGCACUUGCUGCCAUCUCAGUGUAUAAUCUAUGUUAAAUAAAACACCCCUUAAAGGUGCACAGUUAAGGCCGCAGAACAGCCAGGACGCUAUGGUUGUCAUACGCUCAGAACUUUUCAAAACCAGCCGCCUCUGGGCUGACUUUCCCCAUGCUUGCUGUCUGCCUAAAAAGCUUUUAAAAAGUUCUAACAAAGUCGUUUCUUCUGGUUUUGGAUGAUGGAAGGGUCAAAGCUAGCACAAUUUCCCACCCUGAAUUAAAA
Long non-coding RNA from Dermochelys coriacea (leatherback sea turtle), 719 nucleotides. RefSeq lists it as uncharacterized. The record is from RefSeq and is a predicted model, not a curated record. Lineage: Eukaryota; Metazoa; Chordata; Testudines; Dermochelyidae. The transcript has 2 exons.